RNAcentral lists this ribosomal RNA (669 nucleotides) under Lactiplantibacillus plantarum. RNAcentral's name for it is "bacterial SSU rRNA". It matches the Rfam family "Bacterial small subunit ribosomal RNA", at positions 19 to 652 of the family's 1533-position model. Lineage: Bacteria; Bacillati; Bacillota; Bacilli; Lactobacillales; Lactobacillaceae. The record is from RNAcentral.
AUGGCUCAGGACGAACCGCUGGCGGCGUGCUUAAUACAUGCAAGUCGAACGAACUCUGGUAUUGAUUGGUGCUUGCAUCAUGAUUUACAUUUGAGUGAGUGGCGAACUGGUGAGUAACACGUGGGAAACCUGCCCAGAAGCGGGGGAUAACACCUGGAAACAGAUGCUAAUACCGCAUAACAACUUGGACCGCAUGGUCCGAGCUUGAAAGAUGGCUUCGGCUAUCACUUUUGGAUGGUCCCGCGGCGUAUUAGCUAGAUGGUGAGGUAACGGCUCACCAUGGCAAUGAUACGUAGCCGACCUGAGAGGGUAAUCGGCCACAUUGGGACUGAGACACGGCCCAAACUCCUACGGGAGGCAGCAGUAGGGAAUCUUCCACAAUGGACGAAAGUCUGAUGGAGCAACGCCGCGUGAGUGAAGAAGGGUUUCGGCUCGUAAAACUCUGUUGUUAAAGAAGAACAUAUCUGAGAGUAACUGUUCAGGUAUUGACGGUAUUUAACCAGAAAGCCACGGCUAACUACGUGCCAGCAGCCGCGGUAAUACGUAGGUGGCAAGCGUUGUCCGGAUUUAUUGGGCGUAAAGCGAGCGCAGGCGGUUUUUUAAGUCUGAUGUGAAAGCCUUCGGCUCAACCGAAGAAGUGCAUCGGAAACUGGGAAACUUGAGUGCAGA